Molecule: ribosomal RNA, 301 nt
Filed under: uncultured bacterium
Lineage: Bacteria
Description: partial 16S ribosomal RNA
Rfam family: Bacterial small subunit ribosomal RNA
Source: RNAcentral
CAGCCGCCGCGGUAAUACGAAGGGUGCAAGCGUUACUCGGAAUUACUGGGCGUAAAGCGUGCGUAGGUGGUGGUUUAAGUCCGUUGUGAAAGCCCUGGGCUCAACCUGGGAAUUGCAGUGGAUACUGGGUCACUAGAGUGUGGCAGAGGAUAGUGGAAUUUCCGGUGUAGCAGUGAAAUGCGUAGAGAUCGGAAGGAACAUCUGUGGCGAAGGCGACUAUCUGGGCCAACACUGACACUGAGGCACGAAAGCGUGGGGAGCAAACAGGAUUAGAUACCCCGGUAGUCCCUGUCUCUUAUAC